AACGAACGCUGGCGGCAUGCCUAACACAUGCAAGUCGAACGAGACCUUCGGGUCUAGUGGCGCACGGGUCCGUAACGCGUGGGAACCUGCCCUUAGGUUCGGAAUAACUCCCCGAAAGGGGUGCUAAUACCGGAUAAUGUCUUCGGACCAAAGAUUUAUCGCCUUUGGAUGGGCCCGCGUUGGAUUAGCUAGUUGGUAGGGUAAAAGCCUACCAAGGCGACGAUCCAUAGCUGGUCUGAGAGGAUGAUCAGCCACACUGGGACUGAGACACGGCCCAGACUCCUACGGGAGGCAGCAGUGGGGAAUAUUGGACAAUGGGCGAAAGCCUGAUCCAGCAAUGCCGCGUGAGUGAUGAAGGCCUUAGGGUUGUAAAGCUCUUUUACCCGGGAUGAUAAUGACAGUACCGGGAGAAUAAGCUCCGGCUAACUCCGUG
This 433-nucleotide ribosomal RNA is filed under the name uncultured bacterium. RNAcentral describes it as "partial 16S ribosomal RNA". It matches the Rfam family "Bacterial small subunit ribosomal RNA", at positions 29 to 507 of the family's 1533-position model. The record is from RNAcentral.